This 273-nucleotide ribosomal RNA is filed under the name uncultured bacterium. Its description in RNAcentral is "partial 16S ribosomal RNA". It matches the Rfam family "Bacterial small subunit ribosomal RNA", at positions 337 to 607 of the family's 1533-position model. The record is from RNAcentral.
GCCUACGGGGCGCAGCAGUGAGGAAUAUUGGUCAAUGGGCGCGAGCCUGAACCAGCCAAGUCGCGUGAGGGAAGACGGUCCUAUGGAUUGUAAACCUCUUUUGUCGGGGAGCAAAAGACGCCACGUGUGGCGUUCCGAGAGUACCCGAAGAAAAAGCAUCGGCUAACUCCGUGCCAGCAGCCGCGGUAAUACGGAGGAUGCGAGCGUUAUCCGGAUUUAUUGGGUUUAAAGGGUGCGCAGGCGGAAGAUCAAGUCAGCGGUAAAAUUGAGAGG